CUCUACAGCCAUGCUACCCUAAACACACCCGAUCCCAUCUGAUCUUGGAAGCUCAGCAGAGUUGGGCCUGGUUAGUACUUGGAUGGGAGACCACCUAGGAAGACCAGGUGCUGUAGGUG
This 119-nucleotide ribosomal RNA is filed under the name Pteropus alecto (black flying fox). The record is from RNAcentral. Lineage: Eukaryota; Metazoa; Chordata; Mammalia; Chiroptera; Pteropodidae.